CAGUAGCCGCGGGAAUACGAAGGGGGCUAGCGUUGUUCGGAUUUACUGGGCGUAAAGGGUGCGUAGGCGGAUUGUUAAGUCAGGGGUGAAAUCCCGAGGCUCAACCUCGGAACUGCCUUUGAUACUGGCGAUCUUGAGUCCGGGAGAGGUGAGUGGAACUGCGAGUGUAGAGGUGAAAUUCGUAGAUAUUCGCAAGAACACCGGUGGCGAAGGCGGCUCACUGGCCCGGUACUGACGCUGAGGCACGAAAGCGUGGGGAGCAAACAGGAUUAGAUACCCGCGUAGUCCCUGUCUCUUAUAC
This 301-nucleotide ribosomal RNA is filed under the name uncultured bacterium. RNAcentral's name for it is "partial 16S ribosomal RNA". It matches the Rfam family "Bacterial small subunit ribosomal RNA", at positions 509 to 807 of the family's 1533-position model. The record is from RNAcentral.